AAGAGUCCACGGCGGAUGCCUUGGCGCUAGUAGGCGAUGAAGGACGUGGUAAGCUGCGAUAAGCCUCGGUGAGCUGCAAACAAGCGUUGAUCCGAGGAUUUCCGAAUGGGGCAACCCGGCGGGCUGAAAGCCCGUCAACCCUUUACUGAACACAUAGGUUUAGGGUGGCGAACGCGGGGAACUGAAACAUCUAAGUACCCGCAGGAAGAGAAAGUAAGAACGAUUCCCUGAGUAGCGGCGAGCGAACGGGGAAUAGCCUAAACUGGCCGACGUGUAAACCAGCACGUGUUGCGUCGGCGGGGUUGUGGGACCUGGUUGAUUCCAGUGCUGACGGAAUCAAGGAGUUACAAAAUUACAUGCUAGUCGAAUCCUCUGGAAAGUGGAACCGCAGACGGUGACAGUCCCGUAGACGAAAGUAUGUAAUCUCCUACCAGGCACCCGAGUACCACGGGACACGAGAAAUCCCGUGGGAAUCUGUGAGGACCAUCUCAUAAGGCUAAAUACUAACUAGCGACCGAUAGCGAACCAGUACCGUGAGGGAAAGGUGAAAAGUACCCCUGGCGGGGAGUGAAAUAGUACCUGAAACCAUGGACUUACAAGCAGUCGGAGCGGUCUUCGGACCGUGACGGCGUGCCUUUUGCAUAAUGAACCGGUGACUUACUGGUAUGUGGCAAGGUUAAGCGCUUUUACGCGAAGCCGCAGCGAAAGCGAGUCUGAAUAGGGCGAUUCAGUCGCAUGCCGUAGACCCGAAGCUAGGUGAUCUACCCAUGGUCAGGAGGAAGCGGCCGUAACAGGUCGUGGAAGUCCGAACCAGAGGAGGUUGAAAACUCCCUGGAUGAACUGUGGGUAGGGGUGAAAGGCCAAUCAAACCCAGAAAUAGCUGGUUCUCCCCGAAAUAGCUUUAGGGCUAGCCUCAAGUUUGUGUGACGGAGGUAGAGCACUGACAGAGCUAGGGGCCUCACAAGGUUACCGAACUCUUUCAAACUCCGAAUGCCGUUUACAUGUAGCUUGGGAGUCAGCGAGCGUGGGAUAAGCUUCGUUCGCGAGAGGGAAACAACCCAGACCAACAGCUAAGGUCCCCAAGUCUGUACUAAGUGACUAAGGUUGUGGAUUUACCCAGACAACUAGGAUGUUGGCUUAGAAGCAGCCAUCAUUUAAAGAAAGCGUAAUAGCUCACUAGUCAAGUAGAUCUGCGCCGACGAUGAUCGGGACUCAAGCACAGCACCGAAGCUUUGGGAUUGUUCAUGGAUUCGUCCAUGGAUGAUCGGUAGGGGAGCAUUCCGUAAGGGGCUGAAGGUGAACCCGUAAGGGACACUGGACCUAUCGGAAGAGAUUAUGCCGGUAUGAGUACGCGAUAAAGAGGGUGAGAAACCCUCUCCCCGAAAACCUAAGGUUUCCUGAGGAAGGCUAAUCCGCUCAGGGUAAGUCGGAUCCUAAGCCGAGGCCGAAAGGCGUAGGCGAUGGGAAUCAGGUCAAAAUUCCUGAACCACCUAGGUAGAGUUUGAGCGAUGGGGUGACGCAGUGGUGAAAGGUCAGCCAGCUGAUGGAUAUGCUGGUCCAAGUCAGUAGGUGGAAGUCUCAGGCAAAUCCGGGACUUCUUAACACCGAGAGACGAUGGGGGAACGAGCCUUCGGGCGAGCCAACUGAUCCUAAUCGUACUGCCAAGAAAAACCUCUAAGCGAUUUACCUGGGUGUCCGUACCGUAAACCGACACAGGUAGGUGAGGAGAGAAUCCUAAGGGGCUCGAGAGAACUCUUGUUAAGGAACUCUGCAAAUUGACCCCGUAACUUCGGAAGAAGGGGUGCCUCCAGGUAUGUGAUCCACUUCGCGUGGUGAGCAGACGGAGGCCGCAGCGACCAGGCUCGAGCGACUGUUUACUAAAAACACAGGUCUCUGCUAAGUCGUAAAGACGACGUAUAGGGACUGACACCUGCCCGGUGCUGGAAGGUUAAGAGGAGUCGUUAGCGAUUUCGAUUGCGAAGCGGCGAAUUGAAGCCCCAGUAAACGGCGGCCGUAACUAUAACGGUCCUAAGGUAGCGAAAUUCCUUGUCGGGU
RNAcentral lists this ribosomal RNA (2055 nucleotides) under Globobulimina sp. RNAcentral describes it as "bacterial LSU rRNA". It matches the Rfam family "Bacterial large subunit ribosomal RNA", at positions 13 to 1977 of the family's 2925-position model. Lineage: Eukaryota; Foraminifera; Rotaliida; Buliminidae. The record is from RNAcentral.